Molecule: long non-coding RNA, 312 nt
Organism: Zophobas morio
Lineage: Eukaryota; Metazoa; Arthropoda; Insecta; Coleoptera; Tenebrionidae
Exons: 3
Source: RefSeq, a predicted model, not a curated record
UUGACUUCAAGGAAUCGCAAAAGAAAUAUUCAGUACAAUAAGAGUGUCCCUGUUAACCGAAAGUAAGUUAAAAAGAAUUAUCAAUAAAUACUAUGCUAACUUGGUUAAGACCAAAUCGAAAGGGACAGAAGGAGAGGAGAAGAGAGUGGGAAGAGAAGUACGGCUCUCAGGCUAACCACCUUGUCAGGCGAACCAGUAACAGCGGAGACCAGGUGCAAACACAACAAGCUUUAGAAAAGAGCUGCUUGCACCCUUCUUGGAUGGCAAAGCGAAGCCAAAAUUCUAUUUUAAAAAAUAUAAAGGAUAUUCCCU